Molecule: long non-coding RNA, 2663 nt
Organism: Clupea harengus (Atlantic herring)
Lineage: Eukaryota; Metazoa; Chordata; Actinopteri; Clupeiformes; Clupeidae
Source: Ensembl
GCUGAAAAAACUAAAGAUUGUGUCUCAAUGAAAGGGGGUUGGAAUAUGUUCAGGACACUCCAAACAUUAAAUAAAAUGUGUGAAGUAGUUGAGAUUUACGUCCCUGAAUGCUCCACAAUACUUUAAACAUAGGCCUAAACACAGGCGAAAAUGCAUUGUCUUCAAUGGUAGGGCCAUGUGACACCUAUGACAGUUUGCUGAUGAAACUAAAGAAUGUGUCUCAAUGAAAGGGGGGUGGAAUAUGUUCAGGACAUUCCAAACAUUAAAUAAAAUGUGUGAAGUAGUGGAGAAUUACGUCCCUGAAUGCUCCACAAUACUUUAAACAUAGGUGACAAGAAGACACCCUUAUCAACUCAAUUACUAUUGAUCAAAACAGAACGAGGUUUCGGCUGUAGCCUAUACUUGAAACAAACUAUUGAGACCAUAUUCGCUUACAUGCAUUGCACGCGUGAUGAAUUGCGGCUUAAUGGUGUUUUGAGCCCUCACCGUCGACUUCAAGGCAGCAGCUCACCCACCCCCUGAGCGAAAUAAUUCAUAUCUAUAAAUAACAGCUCACCUUUAUCUUUUUAACCAGAUUUGUAAACAGGUCGCGAUCAAUAUUUUGCAGUACAAUAGGCUACCUUGGUUAAAAAUCGAAUUACGAUAGAUGCAUGCUAGCAUUGCGCUAAAUAAUUAGACAGCUAACAUUAAUUAGUGGUGUUAACAUAAAGUCAGUUAUUGUAUAUGGCAUUAAUAUUAUUCUAAAACACCUUCACUAGUUGUUUUAACCAGAUUUGUAAGCAGGUUGUAUACAACAUUUUGGAAGUGCCUUGGUUUAUAACAGCUAAAAGCUAGCUACAUUAAGUUGCUUGCUCAAAUCUCAAAUUCAAACCAACGUAUUUUCUAAACUGGCAAGCUUGGAGCUGCCUCUGUUCAAUGAUUGGCUCAGGGGGUGGGAGGUGGGAUGCGCCUUCCAGGCAGCUGCUGCCUUGAAGUCGACGGUGAGGGCUCAAAACACCGUUAAGCAGCUUUUUUUUAAUUUAUUUUUUAUCGCGGACUUUUUAUUUUUUUUUGCCUUAGGCGCUCGGGAUUUGUUGUAGGCGCUCGGGAAAACGGCUUAGGCGCGCGCCCAAAUUUUCUCUAUGCAGGAAAAACCUGUAUACUCAUUAAAAAAAUAAAAGAUUGGCAAAGUCAACUCCUCUAGGCCUCUUUUUCUUUUAACCCUGGCAGCUCAUACUGCUCUCAACCUCCUCGACGAGCCACCCCGCUUAGCAACGGGGGUUUUCUUCCCACUGGAGCUGCCUUUGCCGACUGCCUUCUCCUCAACAGCUGCGGCAUCACCCUCAUCUCCACCCUGAAGUUCAUCCUCAUCCUCCACAGGAGCCAGGAUGCGGUCAUGCCCCUCCUCCAGAGAGGCUGGUUGUGUGUUCCCAUUGGCUGCUGAUGCUGCCUGUAUGAUCUCCUCGUGUGGCUGCUCCUGCGGUUGCUGCUCCUCCUGCGGCUGCUCCUCCUGCGGCUGCUCCUCCUGCGGCUGCUUCUCCUGCGGCUGCUCCUCCUGCGGCUGCUCCUCUUGCGGCUGCUUCUCCUGCGGCUGCUCCUCCAGCGGCUGCUCCUCCUGCGGCUGCUCUGCUUUUUCACUACUGGAGGGGAGGUCAGUUGGUUUGACUUUUGAGGGUCGACCCCUCUUGCGUGGUGGGCCGUCGUAGAGCGGUUUAGGUUCUGGAAUCGUUGCCUUCCAAUGCCUUUUCUUCUUGCCUAGAGAGCCCCUCGGCCGGCCCCUUUUCUUCGGCGUAGCGCCAUUCUCCAUUUCCAGCUUCUUCUUGGCGACAGCAGAGCCAGAGCUCCGGGGUCGGCCUCUCUUUCUCGGGGGGCUGUCUGCUUCUUCCUCCAGGGACCUUUUCCGGGGCCUGCCCCUCUUUCGCGGGGGUCCGUCAACAGCUGCGGCCUGGACCUUCCCUGAACCCGGUUGUCUCCCCCUCUUUCGGACCGGGCUAAAUGUGAGGCGCCUGGUUUUGUUUGUUGAACCGGGAGGUCGCCCUCUACCUCUUUUGACGGGAGGCCUGUUAGCUGGGGGAUUACCCAGCUUGGAGGUGCUACGACUGGAGACAGAGUCAUACUUGGGAGGGCUGCCCCUUUUCCUCUGAAACAUAUUUAACUUAUUUUUGACAGAGCCCUUAGGUCGACCCCUGCCACGUUUGACUGGCGGGGGGAUGCCAUUAGGAAUACCCUCCUCAGAGUCACUGGGCUCUGCCGUCAUCUCCUUUUGGAAUAGUCAGAUGACAAGUUGAGACAAUGUGGCUCUCUGCAGAAGAAAAUGGAUAAGGUUACACUCAUCCUCUUACAUGUCAUAGCAUACUAAAAGAAAAUGUCGGUCUUAGUGCCUGGUUAUUGCAACUAAAUGUAUCUUGCCAAUCGGAAGUCGUAACAAUCUUACUCAAACAAGUAAGGUAAAUGUAAGGUACAUUGAAGGUAAAAUUAUCUACAGCAAGUAGAUAAUAAGUAAGUAAUAAGGUUAUAAGAACUGCAAUCUUGCAAGUGUUUUCAUAUGUACCCAUCAGCGAGGUUAUGACUCUGAAGUUAUCCACGCCCCCCUUUCUAACCUUUGCAACCCAGCAACACGACGGUUCCUAGCUGGCUAAGCUAACAAAAAUAAUGCUGUUCAUGAUGGACAGCUAAGACAGUAA